RNAcentral lists this transfer RNA (81 nucleotides) under Spirochaetaceae bacterium. Its description in RNAcentral is "tRNA-Leu". It matches the Rfam family "tRNA". Rfam says of the family: Transfer RNA (tRNA) molecules are approximately 80 nucleotides in length. Their secondary structure includes four short double-helical elements and three loops (D, anti-codon, and T loops). Lineage: Bacteria; Pseudomonadati; Spirochaetota; Spirochaetia; Spirochaetales; Spirochaetaceae. The record is from RNAcentral.
GCGAGGGUGGUGAAACUGGUAGACACGCCAGACUUAGGAUCUGGUGCUUUUAGCAUAGGGGUUCAAGUCCCCUCCUUCGCA